This 204-nucleotide ribosomal RNA is filed under the name uncultured Anabaena sp. Its description in RNAcentral is "partial 16S ribosomal RNA". It matches the Rfam family "Bacterial small subunit ribosomal RNA", at positions 631 to 834 of the family's 1533-position model. The record is from RNAcentral. Lineage: Bacteria; Bacillati; Cyanobacteriota; Cyanophyceae; Nostocales; Nostocaceae.
AACUACAAAGCUAGAGUUUGGUCGGGGCAGAGGGAAUUCCUGGUGUAGCGGUGAAAUGCGUAGAUAUCAGGAAGAACACCAGUGGCGAAGGCGCUCUGCUAGGCCGAGACUGACACUGAGGGACGAAAGCUAGGGGAGCGAAUGGGAUUAGAUACCCCAGUAGUCCUAGCCGUAAACGAUGGAUACUAGGCGUAGCUCGUAUCG